This 748-nucleotide small RNA is filed under the name Vigna angularis var. angularis. RNAcentral's name for it is "Non-protein coding transcript". Lineage: Eukaryota; Viridiplantae; Streptophyta; Magnoliopsida; Fabales; Fabaceae. The record is from RNAcentral.
UCCAUACACCAUUCAUUCUAAUUCUUCAUUAUCAGUGCAUAUAUUUUUACAUAGUUUCUGUUUUCAUCACAUUAUCUUGCAUUCAUUGAUUAGAUUUAGUAGAUACAUGCAUUAUUAGUUAGUUUCAUAUUUUUAAACCCGCUGCUGAGGAGGUCGAGCCACGCGCUAAUACUUCUCCCGUGAAGGUCAAAGACAGUGUUGUGAUUGUCCUAGAGCUGGUGCACCUCAUCCAACAAGAAGCAAUUGUGGUGGUCAUUGAGGCAACGACUAUCCAUUCUCCAUUAUCGCUUUUGGCUGCCCUAGUUGCCGACCUCCAUAGCUGGUGCACCUCAUCCAACAAGAAGCAACUGUGGUGGUCAUUGAGGCAACGACUAUGCAUUCUCCAUUAUCGCUUCUGGUCGCCCCCUGCCACUGCUGACCUCUAGAUUUGGUGCACCUCGUCCAGCGACAAACAUAGUGAGCAUUGAGGCAACAAAUUCCACACAACCACCACAUGCUACCCUUCUAUAAAGCUUAGUCAUGAGUGUGAGGUCCACACACCAGACUACGAUGACCAAAAAACCACUACAUUUCUUCCCGUGGUCUCAUGGGCUCCUCUAGUCUCAAUUUUAUCCUUCUUUAGGACUUCAAACCUUGUCUUAGUUGUGGAUUAUAAAAGAAAUCAUAUGUUAGACUUCUAAAAAAUCUUUAGUUGAGAUUGUUAGAUGACGUUUGUAGAAAUCAUAACCUUUCUAGACUUUAACCCGAG